GAACGCUGGCGGCGUGCUUAACACAUGCAAGUCGAACGCGAAAGGGACUUCGGUCCUGAGUAAAGUGGCGCACGGGUGAGUAACGCGUGGAUAAUCUGCCCUUAUGAUCGGGAUAACAGUUGGAAACGGCUGCUAAUACCGGAUACGCUCAAGAUGAACUUUUUGAGGAAAGAUGGCCUCUGCUUGCAUGCUAUCGCAUAGGGAUGAGUCCGCGUCCCAUUAGCUUGUUGGCGGGUAACGGCCCACCAAGGCAACGAUGGGUAGCCGAUUUGAGAGGAUGAUCGGCCACACUGGAACUGAAACACGGUCCAGACUCCUACGGGAGGCAGCAGUGGGGAAUAUUGCGCAAUGGGCGAAAGCCUGACGCAGCGACGCCGCGUGAGGGAUUGAAGGUUUUCGGAUCGUAAACCUCUGUCAGAAGGGAAGAAACUACGUUGUGCUAAUCAGCAGCGUUACUGACGGUACCUUCAAAGGAAGCACCGGCUAACUCCGUGCCAGCAGCCGC
RNAcentral lists this ribosomal RNA (505 nucleotides) under uncultured bacterium. Its description in RNAcentral is "bacterial SSU rRNA". It matches the Rfam family "Bacterial small subunit ribosomal RNA", at positions 31 to 518 of the family's 1533-position model. The record is from RNAcentral.